UGUAGGAGUGAGCCUGCUCGCGAUAGCGGUGUAUCAGUCGACAUUACUAUUGACUGAUACACCGCUAUCGCGAGCAGGCUCACUCCUACA
RNAcentral lists this unclassified non-coding RNA (90 nucleotides) under Pseudomonas helmanticensis. The record is from RNAcentral. Lineage: Bacteria; Pseudomonadati; Pseudomonadota; Gammaproteobacteria; Pseudomonadales; Pseudomonadaceae.